UAGCCCUCAUGUAGCAAAGGAGAGAGAUGCAGUGUUUAGAGUGAAAUGCUACUGACAUGCCAAGAACUAUUUUCUAUAGCCGCAGGUGAAUUCAGAGGUGGACCUAAGGAAGAGGGACCAACUGUGGACACACAUUUAGAUCCACAAGAUUGUCUGAUUUUCAUAAUCAAGAGAGAAGUCAUCCACACAUUUCGUCUUUUUAGGAAUCAUCAGCAAGUCACAGAAACAGAUCUUAUAUAGAAUAUGUUUACACAUUUUAAAAACAACAUUUUUAUGAAGGCCAAAUGUUCCUUGAUAAGAAGUUUUAGCAAUAGAUUUGGUAAGCAUUAUAAUUGAGAAGAAUGAGAUUUUUCAAUAUAUACAAUGAAAUUUAUGACCAUGUAAAUAAAAUACAUUCUGCCUUUA
Long non-coding RNA from Panthera uncia (snow leopard), 405 nucleotides. RefSeq lists it as uncharacterized. Lineage: Eukaryota; Metazoa; Chordata; Mammalia; Carnivora; Felidae. The transcript has 2 exons. The record is from RefSeq and is a predicted model, not a curated record.